GACGAACGCUGGCGGCGUGCUUAACACAUGCAAGUCGAACGGAAAGGCCCUGCUUUUGUGGGGUGCUCGAGUGGCGAACGGGUGCGUAACACGUGAGUAACCUGCCCUUGACUUUGGGAUAACUUCAGGAAACUGGGGCUAAUACCGGAUAGGAGCUCCUGCUGCAUGGUGGGGGUUGGAAAGUUUCGGCGGUUGGGGAUGGACUCGCGGCUUAUCAGCUUGUUGGUGGGGUAGUGGCUUACCAAGGCUUUGACGGGUAGCCGGCCUGAGAGGGUGACCGGCCACAUUGGGACUGAGGUACGGACCAGACUCCUACAGGGGGCAGCAGUGGGGAAUAUUACACAAUGGGCGGAAGCCUGAUGCAGCAACGCCGCGUGCGGGAUGACGGCCUUCUGGUUGUAAACCGCUUUCGCCUGUGACGAAGCGUGAGUGACGGUAAUGGGUAAAGAAGCACCGGCUAACUACGUG
RNAcentral lists this ribosomal RNA (468 nucleotides) under uncultured bacterium. RNAcentral's name for it is "partial 16S ribosomal RNA". It matches the Rfam family "Bacterial small subunit ribosomal RNA", at positions 28 to 507 of the family's 1533-position model. The record is from RNAcentral.